ACGAACGCUGGCGGCGUGCUUAACCCAUGCAAGUCGAACGGAAAGGCCCUGCUUUUGUGGGGUGCUCGAGUGGCGAACGGGUGAGUAACACGUGAGUAACCUGCCCUUGACUUUGGGAUAACUUCAGGAAACUGGGGCUAAUACCGGAUAGGAGCUCCUGCUGCAUGGUGGGGGUUGGAAAGUUUCGGCGGUUGGGGAUGGACUCGCGGCUUAUCAGCUUGUUGGUGGGGUAGUGGCUUACCAAGGCUUUGACGGGUAGCCGGCCUGAGAGGGUGUCCGGCCACAUUGGGACUGAGAUACGGCCCAGACUCCUACGGGAGGCAGCAGUGGGGAAUAUUGCACAAUGGGCGGAAGCCUGAUGCAGCAACGCCGCGUGCGGGAUGACGGCCUUCGGGUUGUAAACCGCUUUCGCCUGUGACGAAGCGUGAGUGACGGUAAUGGGUAAAGAAGCACCGGCUAACUACGUG
Molecule: ribosomal RNA, 467 nt
Filed under: uncultured bacterium
Lineage: Bacteria
Description: partial 16S ribosomal RNA
Rfam family: Bacterial small subunit ribosomal RNA
Source: RNAcentral